AUUGAACGCUGGCGGUAGGCCUAACACAUGCAAGUCGAACGAGUGGCGGACGGGAGAGUAAUGUCUGUGAAACUGCCUGAUGGAGGGGGAUAACUACUGGACACGGUAGCUAAUACCGCAUACCAUCGGAUGGGACUCGAUGGGAUUAGCUAGUAUGUGGGGUAAAGGCUCACAUAGGCGACGAUCCCUAGCUGGUCUGAGAGGAUGACCAGACACACUGGCACUGAGACACGGGCCAGACUCCUACGGGAGGCAGCAGUGGGGAAUAUUGCACAAUGGGCGCAAGCCUGAUGCAGCCAUGCCGCGUGGAUGAAGAAGGCCUUCGGGUUGUAAAGUACUUUCAGCGGGGAGGCGUUACCCGCAGAAGAAGCACCGGCUAACUCCGUGCCAGCAGCCGCGGUAAUAC
This 406-nucleotide ribosomal RNA is filed under the name uncultured bacterium. Its description in RNAcentral is "partial 16S ribosomal RNA". It matches the Rfam family "Bacterial small subunit ribosomal RNA", at positions 30 to 526 of the family's 1533-position model. The record is from RNAcentral.